Molecule: non-coding RNA, 864 nt
Organism: Plasmodium knowlesi strain H
Lineage: Eukaryota; Apicomplexa; Aconoidasida; Haemosporida; Plasmodiidae
Source: Rfam
GGGCGAGUAUUCGCGCAAGCGAGAAAGUUAAAAGAAUUGACGGAAGGGCACCACCAGGCGUGGAGCUUGCGGCUUAAUUUGACUCAACACGGGAAAACUCACUAGUUUAAGACAAGAGUAGGAUUGACAGAUUAAUAGCUCUUUCUUGAUUUCUUGGAUGGUGAUGCAUGGCCGUUUUUAGUUCGUGAAUAUGAUUUGUCUGGUUAAUUCCGAUAACGAACGAGAUCUUAACCUGCUAAUUAGCGGCAAAUACGAUAUAUUCUUAUGUAGAAUUGAAUAUAGUGGAUUUGUUGGAUUUUGAAGAAAAUAUUGGAAUUACGUUAAAUGUGAUUCCUUUCCCUUUUCUACUUAAUUUACAUUUCCAUCUAUUUCUUUUUUGCGUAUGAAUGUAUUUGCUUGAUUGUAAAGCUUCUUAGAGGAACGAUGUGUGUCUAACACAAGGAAGUUUAAGGCAACAACAGGUCUGUGAUGUCCUUAGAUGAACUAGGCUGCACGCGUGCUACACUGAUAUGUAUAACGAGUUACUAAAAUUACGAUUUUAGCUGCUUGCAGUUUAUUUCGUACUUUUCCUCCACUGAAAAGUGUAGGUAAUCUUUAUCAAUACAUAUCGUGAUGGGGAUAGAUUAUUGCAAUUAUUAAUCUUGAACGAGGAAUGCCUAGUAAGCAUGAUUCAUCAGAUUGUGCUGACUACGUCCCUGCCCUUUGUACACACCGCCCGUCGCUCCUACCGAUUGAAAGAUAUGAUGAAUUGUUUGGACAAGAAAAAAUUGGAUUAUAUCCUUUUUUUUCUGGAAAAACCGUAAAUCCUAUCUUUUAAAGGAAGGAGAAGUCGUAACAAGGUUUCCGUAGGUGAACCUGCGGAAG